AAAAACUUAGGUUAACCAAACCAAGGACCUUCAAAGUCCUAAAUAAAGAUAUAAACCUCCUUAGUUUUUG
Molecule: transfer RNA, 70 nt
Filed under: Anolis carpenteri
Lineage: Eukaryota; Metazoa; Chordata; Lepidosauria; Squamata; Anolidae
Description: tRNA-Trp
Source: RNAcentral